Ictalurus punctatus (channel catfish) is the source of this 2259-nucleotide long non-coding RNA. The record is from Ensembl. Lineage: Eukaryota; Metazoa; Chordata; Actinopteri; Siluriformes; Ictaluridae.
GUGGCCACUGCGCGAGAUCCUCAGGCUCCGGCGAGCAAAAGCUGCAUAUCCCGCGAACAACGCGGCGACGGCGAUCAGAAAUGAGGCGCUUUCACAAUCUCCCUCGUUCGGUUCGAGGCGGAAGAGUCCCGGGGAAGACAGCAGAUCAUGAUUCCGCGAACGGAGACGACGGGGAAGGGCAGGACAUCGCAUUCAUAUCACACACCAUAGCGUAGAAAGUCAUACAAGGCUCUUUCCAUCUGGAGGAUGAGCGAUUUGAUUUUGACAGAAACAGACAGUGUGACAGCAGUAAUGAUGAGCAAGCUGAAGGAUGUGCUGACAUGGACAACAAAUGAAUUGGAUGCUGUUCUCUUGCAUGGUGAUGAGCUGUAUACAUUAAUGUGAUUACAGGGCAAGAUAGGUGACCCAACGCAGCGUGGUUAUGUAGCGAUUGCUGAAUUGCUAACAAUGCACACAUUCUGUAAUAACAAGUUUUCAAUUAAGUGUCGUUAUUCAUACACUGGAUGUAUUGGUGUUGAGGUUUAUGAUGAAGCAGUGCGAGAUGUAUCCAUGUCUAUACAAGAAGCACUUCGGAGGGCUUUGCUUCAGUUUGAUGCAUGUUUGUUUGUUGAGCAUUGAAGACUACAUUUGUGCAGUUAUAAUGGAGGGGCCAAAAUUUGCUGUAAACGAUUCUCAUUCACCUAAUGACAAAGGUAUGGCUGAAUAUGCUAAAGGCACAAGCAUAGUAACAUACUGUAAUGACAUACAUGUUUACUUAUGUUAAGCUUGCUUUGUCACUGAAUGCUCAAGGAAUACCAUUUGAAGUGACUGAUGUGAGAGCAAGAGCAAUUGGUAAGGUCACAACUAUUGAGACAGCUUAUAAGUCUUGUCACCAAGGCAGUGUUGCACAUGUUUGACCUAAGAGGACAGGUGAGCGGAGUAAGUGUUCUAUUGGUGACAGUAGUAAACAGGUGUGUGUGUGUGUAUGUAAAACAAUGACUACAAAUCAAAUGAGAAAUGUCUGGUUUCAAGUAAAAGGAGAGAGGAGCAAAACAAGUCAAAACUAGACAGGUGAGUAAGUUACCUGAUCAUUUCUAAUGGAUGACAUCAUUAUUGGAGAUACCAUAAUGAGUUUUAAACCUUUAACACUGCAGAUCAGGAUGUGUUGUGUGUCUACGUUUACAACUGAUUAAUGAAAACAGUGGUGUUGAAAGCAAUUUGUGUUCUUUAGGAGAGCGCUGUAAAACAAAGUGCAUCAACGCUGAUGGGAGUUGCUUUUUAUAGAUCAAUUGCACAUGCAGUAUGUGGCAAUGAAGAGAAAAACCUGAAUAGUAGAUGUUCAGUUGUGAAACACCUUGAAGCUAACAGUUCUAAAUUUGUGAAAUACUUAAGAGAACAGUACAGAUCGGUGAAAGAUUAUUUGACACAGAAUGUAUUAUUGUACUUCAUGUGCAACUGAAGUAGACCUUUUUGCUGCAGCAGACCUUUUCCAAAUAAAUGUGAUGACCUUUAAUGAUGACAGAUGAAAUUCACGUAUCCCAAGUGGAUAGUUAUUGACAGAUAAUGCAAUCUAUUUGAAGCACUGUAAUGGAAAUCACGAUGACAUUGUUACAUGUGUUAAACAUCAUAAUCAAGAAAACAUGCAGGAGCAUGUAAAAAUGAGUGGUUGAUGGCACCAUAAAGCAAUGUCUGCGAAAAAGAAAGUUAAAUGAUACAGCAGAAGAGAGAUAUAAAUAAUGUAAAUAUACAUUGUAUAUUUUGUAACCUUAUUUUUGACAGGUCAAAAAGAGACAUAUUUUUACUAUCUAUGUACAGGUCAAAGGUCAUAAUCAUCAUCAUUAAAUAUAAUGAUGAUGAUAGGUCAAAGGGUCAUCAUAAUAAAUUAUAAUUAUGUUAAAUUCGUUUCUGAUGUAUUCCAGACACACACACACACACACACACAAGUUGUUUCCUUUCCCAUAGAUUGUGAAACAUUCAUGAGUCAGGCCUAGGUCAAAAAGGUCAAUGAUAAUUAUUGCAGCAUGUUCUUUACCUAUAUUUCCUGUAAAAUCCGGUUCCGGUGCAUUCCACACACACACACACACACACACACACACGCACACACACACGCACACACACAUACAUAAGGAUAAUAAAAUAAUAAAUAAUGAAUUUCCAUACACAUCCAACCCAAAAUAAGACACACACACACAUCCAACCAAAAAUAUGACUCGCGCACACACACAGACACACAUCCAACCAAAAACAUGACACGCACACACAUCCAACCAAAAAUAUGAC